UCGAGAAUUUUUCUCAAUGGGCGAAAGCCUGAAGGAGCGACGCCGCGUGGGGGAUGAAGGGCUUCGGUCCGUAAACCCCUGUCAUUUGCGAACAAACCUUACGUGUGAAUAACGCGUGAGCUGAUUGUAGCGAAAGAGGAAGGGACGGCUAACUCUGUGCCAGCAGCCGCGGUAAUACAGAGGUCCCAAGCGUUGUUCGGAUUCACUGGGCGUAAAGGGUGCGCAGGUGGGUUGGCAAGUUUGACGUGAAAGCCCCGGGCUUAACCCGGGAAUGGCGUUGAAAACUGCUGAUCUGGAGGAUUGGAGGGGGGACUGGAAUUCUUGGUGUAGCAGUGAAAUGCGUAGAUAUCAAGAGGAACACCAGUGGCGAAGGCGAGUCCCUGGACAAUUCCUGACACUGAGGCACGAAAGCCAAGGGAGCAAACAG
This 427-nucleotide ribosomal RNA is filed under the name uncultured bacterium. RNAcentral describes it as "bacterial SSU rRNA". It matches the Rfam family "Bacterial small subunit ribosomal RNA", at positions 355 to 775 of the family's 1533-position model. The record is from RNAcentral.